UGUGUGUGUGUGUGUGUGUG
Molecule: microRNA, 20 nt
Filed under: Mus musculus (house mouse)
Lineage: Eukaryota; Metazoa; Chordata; Mammalia; Rodentia; Muridae
Description: mmu-miR-466i-5p
Gene: mmu-miR-466i-5p
Source: miRBase by way of RNAcentral